Molecule: long non-coding RNA, 1909 nt
Organism: Cavia porcellus (domestic guinea pig)
Lineage: Eukaryota; Metazoa; Chordata; Mammalia; Rodentia; Caviidae
Exons: 2
Source: RefSeq, a predicted model, not a curated record
CGCGGGCUGUUGCCUGGAGAACCCCACCCGGCAACAGGCCCCGCCCCCUCGGGGGCCGCCUCGCCUCGGCGCUGGCGCAGGCGCGGCCCCGGGCCCCGCCCCCUCCGCCAGCGCGCGGCUGCUGGUCGGGGUGAGAGUUGAGCAUCUCGACGCCUGAGCUUCCCUGUUCAGGGGACAGCUGGCUGCCAAUGGCAAAGAGCAAACAUGGUGGCCAGCAUGAGCUUCUUCUUGGAGGUAAAGUGGGACGAACCGAAGCAAAUGGACACCAGGUAAUUAGCAAGAUUACUCAGAUACUCCAGCACCUCCUUGUGUACUUGCCAUUCACAUCUAUGCCAUUGAUGGCCAGCGCUGCAUGAUGUACCAAAGAGGCAAGGCCAAGGGUCAGUGAGGCUUCAGCCCCAGGACUUACUGAGGGCACAAGGGGUCUAGCACAUCCCACCUGCGCCUACCUUCAUCCUGGCCCAUUCUGUGUCUUCAUAGUUUGACUAAUGACUUUUAAACAUUUGACUGAUUUUUUGCCUAAAGAAAAUGAGGAUCAGGGCUGGGGAUUUAGCUCAGCAGCAUAAGCGCCUUGCAAGCAGGCAGUCGUGAGUUCGAUCCCCGUUACCGAUAAAAAGGAAAAAGACAAAAACAAAAAAAAAAAACAAAAAAGAAAAUGAGGAUAAUCAUUUAGUCUUACUGUUUGUAACUUGAGAAGGAAAACUGUGAGCUUUAGAAAAAUAAAAUGCUAUACCUAAUGCCUAGAUUGUUCUUUUCUUUUUGGUGAGAGGGUACUGGAAAUUGAAUCUAAGGCCUUUCAGUGAGCUACAGUGCUAGUCCUUUUUUAUUUUUAUUUUUAAUUUUUGAGAUAGAAUCUCAUGGCUUCACUAAGGUGCUCAGGCUGGGCUCAAAUUUGUCAUCCUUCUGUCUCAGCCUUCAAGAGUCUUAGGAUUACAAAACUGAUUGCAACAAUGCAUCCUAUUCCUUUGUUCUUUUACUUUGCCUCUCAUUCAUUGACAUGGUAAUUGUGUCCUUGACAACCAACUUUAUAAAUAAUAAAUAUUUAUUUUGGCUUAUGAUUUCACAGGUUUCAGUUCAUGCUUAAUUGGUCCAUUGUUUUAGGCCUGUGGUGACAUCAUGGCAAGAGCAUGUAGCAGAGCAAAAUCACCUACUUUGUGGCCAGGAAAUGAGAGAGAAAUAAAGAGUUGGAGUCCUACUAGUUCCUUCAGGUUACACACCCUAUGACCCCAGAUCCACCCACUAGGCCCCAUCUCUUAAAGGUUCCACCCCUUCGCUAUAGCCCCAGAGAUUGGGAAACAAGUCUUUAACAGCUGGGCCUUUAGGGGACUUUCCACAUCCAAAGGACAGAAGUCCUUUUCUUUGAUUUGGGUGGGUCAUUAUGACUGCCUCAAGUAGUAGGGAAUGCUACCUAACUUCUAAGGCUGGGUCAUAAAAGGCCAUUCAGCUCUUGGGUCACUAUUGGCCCAGCCACUGUGCUGGAGAGGAAGCAACACCAUAUCCUUUCAACAGGCUGAUAAUUUAAGCCCUUAAAUUUUAGUGUGUUUGAUUAUACAGUGAGAUAACUGCUACAGACAUUUGAAGGGAAUAUCUGAAGAUUAAGCUUUACAUUGUUUAAAAUUUCCUGAUAGCCUCUAUAUUACUUACAGAAAUAUGCCAGCACAAUAUCUGUGUUUAAAGUGAGAUAGAUUAAACUUGAACUUACAACUUGUCUAAAAUUUAAAAACUAUUCUUAGAAGAAUAUUUGUAAUUUGAUUAUUUUCUUUUCAGAAUGUCAUUUUGACUCUCGGGAAAUUUAUAAUGUAUGAAUUCCUUUUGUAUAUCCUGCCACAGAUAUGCAGGUAACCAAGCUGGAAACCUGGAAACCUUCCCACGUUCCUUAUGUCCCUUCAAUAAACGAAUGUUGCUUAUA